GCCUGGCCCUAAAUCUUGAUGCUCGAUCUUACCGGAGCAUCCGCCCGAGAACUACGAGCACCAACGCUUAAAACUCUAAGGAGCUUGGCGGUGCCCCAAACCCACCUAGAGGAGCCUGUUCUGUAAUCGAUGAUCCACGAUAUACCUGACCAUUCCUUGCCAAGUCAGCCUAUAUACCGCCGUCGCCAGCCCACCCAGCAUGAAGGACCAACAGUGGACGCAAUAGCCUAACCCGCUAGUACGACAGGUCAAGGUAUAGCCUAUGGAAUGGAGGCAAUGGGCUACAUUUUCUAAAUUAGAACAUACGGCAAAGGGAUAUGAAACUGUCCCUGGAAGGAGGAUUUAGCAGUAAAGUGGGACAAUCGAGCCCUCUUUAAGCCGGCCCUGGAGCACGU
RNAcentral lists this ribosomal RNA (395 nucleotides) under Phylloscopus coronatus. RNAcentral's name for it is "partial 12S ribosomal RNA". Lineage: Eukaryota; Metazoa; Chordata; Aves; Passeriformes; Phylloscopidae. The record is from RNAcentral.